This 615-nucleotide ribosomal RNA is filed under the name Salmonella enterica. RNAcentral's name for it is "partial 23S ribosomal RNA". It matches the Rfam family "Bacterial large subunit ribosomal RNA", at positions 655 to 1266 of the family's 2925-position model. The record is from RNAcentral. Lineage: Bacteria; Pseudomonadati; Pseudomonadota; Gammaproteobacteria; Enterobacterales; Enterobacteriaceae.
GAAUAGGGGAGCCGGAGGGAAACCGAGUCUUAAUUGGGCGUUAAGUUGCAGGGUAUAGACCCGAAACCCGGUGAUCUAGCCAUGGGCAGGUUGAAGGUUGGGUAACACUAACUGGAGGACCGAACCGACUAAUGUUGAAAAAUUAGCGGAUGACCUGUGGCUGGGGGUGAAAGGCCAAUCAAACCGGGAGAUAGCUGGUUCUCCCCGAAAGCUAUUUAGGUAGCGCCUCGUGAAUUCAUCUCCGGGGGUAGAGCACUGUUUCGGCUAGGGGGCCAUCCCGGCUUACCAACCCGAUGCAAACUGCGAAUACCGGAGAAUGUUAUCACGGGAGACACACGGCGGGUGCUAACGUCCGUCGUGAAGAGGGAAACAACCCAGACCGCCAGCUAAGGUCCCAAAGUCAUGGUUAAGUGGGAAACGAUGUGGGAAGGCCCAGACAGCCAGGAUGUUGGCUUAGAAGCAGCCAUCAUUUAAAGAAAGCGUAAUAGCUCACUGGUCGAGUCGGCCUGCGCGGAAGAUGUAACGGGGCUAAACCAUGCACCGAAGCUGCGGCAGCGACGCUUAUGCGUUGUUGGGUAGGGGAGCGUUCUGUAAGCCUGUGAAGGUGGCCUGUGA